RNAcentral lists this ribosomal RNA (521 nucleotides) under uncultured bacterium. RNAcentral describes it as "bacterial SSU rRNA". It matches the Rfam family "Archaeal small subunit ribosomal RNA", at positions 345 to 866 of the family's 1478-position model. The record is from RNAcentral.
AACCUCCGCAAUGUGAGAAAUCGCGACGGGGGGAUCCCAAGUGCCAUUCUUAACGGGAUGGCUUUUCAUUAGUGUAAAGAGCUUUUGGAAUAAGGGCUGGGCAAGACCGGUGCCAGCCGCCGCGGUAACACCGGCAGCUCUAGUGGUAGCAGUUUUUAUUGGGCCUAAAGCGUCCGUAGCCGGUUUAAUAAGUCUCUGGUGAAAUCCUGUAGCUUAACUGUGGGAAUUGCUGGAGAUACUAUUAGGCUUGAGACCGGGAGAGGUUAGAGGUACUCCCAGGGUAGAGGUGAAAUUCUGUAAUCCUGGGAGGACCGCCUGUUGCGAAGGCGUCUAACUGGAACGGUUCUGACGGUGAGGGACGAAAGUUAGGGGCGCGAACCGGAUUAGAUACCCGGGUAGUCCUAACUGUAAACGAUGCGGACUUGGUGUUGGGGUGGCUUUGAGCUGCUCCAGUGCCGAAGGGAAGCUGUUAAGUCCGCCGCCUGGGAAGUACGGUCGCAAGACUGAAACUUAAAGGAAUU